This is a non-coding RNA of Pelobates cultripes (western spadefoot toad), 208 nucleotides long. Lineage: Eukaryota; Metazoa; Chordata; Amphibia; Anura; Pelobatidae. The record is from the annotation of a GenBank genome assembly.
CUGGAAGUGGGGGCCCAUCCUCUUUAUUUAACCUGUCACUGGUCCUCACGCAAAGUUUCCUUCUAAAACUGUCCAAAAGCUGGAUUCCAGAGCAGACGAGUAAACCUGACAAUAAUUGGGUUAAAAAAUGUUGGCUUGUCUGUUUCUUUAAUUAUUAUUACAUUUCCUGGACUGAUUAUUUGGAACACUGCCAUUAUGUCAGUUGUGA